Molecule: ribosomal RNA, 383 nt
Filed under: uncultured bacterium
Lineage: Bacteria
Description: bacterial SSU rRNA
Rfam family: Bacterial small subunit ribosomal RNA
Source: RNAcentral
AUUGAACGCUGGCGGCAUGCCUUACACAUGCAAGUCGAACGGCAGCACGGGAGCAAUCCUGGUGGCGAGUGGCGAACGGGUGAGUAAUAUAUCGGAACGUGCCCAGUCGUGGGGGAUAACGUAGCGAAAGCUACGCUAAUACCGCAUACGAUCUAUGGAUGAAAGCGGGGGAUCGCAAGACCUCGCGCGAUUGGAGCGGCCGAUAUCAGAUUAGGUAGUUGGUGAGGUAAAGGCUCGCCAAGCCGACGAUCUGUAGCUGGUCUGAGAGGACGACCAGCCACACUGGGACUGAGACACGGCCCAGACUCCUACGGGAGGCAGCAGUGGGGAAUUUUUGGACGAAUGGGCGCAAGCCUGAUCAGCAAUGCCGCGUGCAGGAUGAA